UACGGGGGGGGCAAGCGUUGUUCGGAAUUACUGGGCGUAAAGGGCGCGUAGGUGGUCAGACUAAGUCAGGUGUAAAAUUUCUGGGCUUAACCCAGAACGGUCAUUUGAUACUGGUCGCUAGAGUCCGGAAGGGGUUACUGGAAUUCCAGGUGUAGCGGUGAAAUGCGUAGAUAUCAGGAGGAACACCGGAGGCGAAGGCGGGUAACUGGGCCAACACUGACACUGAGGCGCGAAAGCCAGGGGAGCAAA
Molecule: ribosomal RNA, 249 nt
Filed under: uncultured Blastocatellia bacterium
Lineage: Bacteria; Pseudomonadati; Acidobacteriota; Blastocatellia
Description: partial 16S ribosomal RNA
Rfam family: Bacterial small subunit ribosomal RNA
Source: RNAcentral